This 654-nucleotide ribosomal RNA is filed under the name uncultured Gammaproteobacteria bacterium. RNAcentral describes it as "bacterial SSU rRNA". It matches the Rfam family "Bacterial small subunit ribosomal RNA", at positions 49 to 701 of the family's 1533-position model. Lineage: Bacteria; Pseudomonadati; Pseudomonadota; Gammaproteobacteria. The record is from RNAcentral.
UAACACAUGCAAGUCGAGCGCGAAAACACCUCGGUGUGAGUAGAGCGGCGGACGGGUGAGUAAUGCUUGGGAAUCUACCUAGUAGUGGGGGAUAACGUGUGGAAACGCACGCUAAUACCGCGUACGUCCUACGGGAGAAAGCAGGGGACCUUCGGGCCUUGCGCUAUUAGAUGAGCCCAAGUCGGAUUAGCUAGUUGGUAGGGUAAUGGCUUACCAAGGCGACGAUCCGUAGCUGGUCUGAGAGGAUGAUCAGCCACACUGGGACUGAGACACGGCCCAGACUCCUACGGGAGGCAGCAGUGGGGAAUAUUGCACAAUGGGCGAAAGCCUGAUGCAGCCAUGCCGCGUGUGUGAAGAAGGCUCUAGGGUCGUAAAGCACUUUCAGUAGGGAGGAAAAGUAUGUAGUUAAUAACUGCAUACCCUGACGUUACCUACAGAAGAAGCACCGGCAAACUCCGUGCCAGCAGCCGCGGUAAUACGGAGGGUGCGAGCGUUAAUCGGAAUUACUGGGCGUAAAGCGCGCGUAGGUGGUUUGAUAAGCUAGCUGUGAAAGCCCCGGGCUCAACCUGGGAACUGCAGUUAGAACUGUCUGACUAGAGUACAGUAGAGGGUGGCGGAAUUUCCUGUGUAGCGGUGAAAUGCGUAGAUAUAGGA